AAAAAGAAAAAAAAAGAACAAAAUCACUAACUAAGGAGUACUCAUUCACUCUUACCUACUCAGGUAGCGAUAAGUAACGUACUGCAUGCGAUCCUGGAGUUUUUCUUUUUUCAUAUAUCCGUUUAUUCAAAAUGUCUUAUCUUUUAAACCGCGCGUUUAAAUUUUGAACCGUUUUCACUGUUGGAUUUCUCGCGUCGAGAUCUUGAAAACUAAAUCCUAUGUUGAUAAAAUUCAAUGUACUUUUUUCAAAAAAAAUAACCGAACUGAAAGUACAUAUUUUUUCUUUCCGAAAAAGGCACGACCGUACCUUUCACGGAAGAAAAAACAGAAAAUACGUUUUUUCGUUUUCAAUGAGCACGGUCGUGCCUCUCACAGAAGCAAUACCGUACCUACCGUAGAAGAAGAAAAAAACACAAAAUACAUAUUUUACAUUUUCUAGAGACACGGCCAUGCCUUUCACGAAAAAAAAGAAAAAUAAAAACAUGUUUUUUUCAUUUUCGAGAGGCACGGCUUGCUACUCGCGAAAGCAAAACCGUUCUUUUCGCGAAAAAAAAAACUAAAAAUGUAUUUUUUUUAUUUCUAAGAGGCACGGCCGUGCCUCUCACGAAAGCAAAAUCAUGCCUCUUGCGGAAGGGAAAAAGUGUUUUUCAUGCAAAAAAGUAAAAAUCAAAAUUUCUUUCGGUCCAAAAUCUAAGAAAGACCUGUGAAAAAUAAAAGGUAAAAAAACAGUUUAAAGAGUCAAAAACGUGUGCUGAAAAAAAUUCAGAGGGAGCGACAGAACACAACACGUGACGACGACUGAGAACAUGCCAAGUAGUGAUCGUUGGGAGGCUUUUGAAGAAGCGCUCGCCAACUAGUUGCUGUCAUAAAAGAGAAAGAAACGGUGAAGCUGACCGUGGGCCGGCCCAAACUGGGGGGUUGGGUGGAACGCCUUCAGCGAAGCCUCGCCUCUAUGACGCCCGCGUGUGUUGUGAAAGUUGGGCCAGACUGCAAACUGUAUUGGAAGUUGGGCCAGAUUGAUUUAUCUUCAGCAGGGUUUAUCUUUUAGACUCUAAUUCUUUCACUUUGCCUUAGUUCGCUCUCGGCAUUUGGUUGUGGUAUGUGACUUUGUUUCUGAAAAUAUUUGGUGAUGCAUCAAAAUUGUUGCUUGAAGCCAUGGUGCAACCGAAUUAUCAUUGAUUUAGUACUCUUUGUAGUAUUAAAGUUGUACUAAAGCAAUGACAAUUCAUUUGGAGCACCGACAAUUCAUUUUGUUUGAAGGGAGCAUAUCGUAAUAAAGCAGCGACAACUUAUUAUUUCAAAAAUCUAAAACUAGCUUGUGAUUUAUGAAGUUAGUGAAAUAAUUUAUUUGGAAAAAGUGAAAUACAUCUAAUUUUUGUGUGAAACUGCUUAUUUCAAUGUUUGAAACUGAUAUUUAUGAUCAAUGAAAUACGUUGCAACAUAUUAGUACAUGCGAAGUGAAAUAUGAGAUAUAUAUUUUUUGUAAUGAGAAAUCAGUUUUUUGAAACGAGUGAAAUAUAGUAUUUCAAUUGAGUGACUGUAAUGUGUUUUUUGAUAUGAAUGAAAUCUAUCAUUUAUAAAUGAGUGUAAUAUAUUUUCUCAAAUAAAUGAAAUAUGUUUUUUGAAUUGGGUAAAAUGAAUUUUAUAAAAUGAGUGAAAUCAGUUUUCUCAAACCGUCAUACUCUUCCAUCUCAUCCCCCACGUUGACUUUGCUCAUUAGUUUCAAAAAGGAGUGAUCUUUGGACAUGUAGUAGAAUCUAGAGAAGUCUCUAAAACAUCUAUGCAUAGUGCUUUUUCUAAUGAACGUAAAUACCACAUUCAAACGGUAAAUAUUGAUGUUAUGUAAGUAACGACCGUAAAUACCACAUUCUCUAAAGUUAACAUACCACGAAAUCUGUCUAGCCCAAGACUAUAACACAUCAAUACUCUGUUAAUUAAUUUCUAGAUGCACAACGUAGACUAGCAUAGCAAAACAAAAUGAAGCACGCCUGCUCAUCUAGUAGUUUGUAUCGCUAGGCGAUGUAUAAUUCAGGCACAAACGAGAAACCUAAAUGUAGCACUCCCAGAAUCUAGGACUUCCAAAAUCAUUUGUGGAAUAGAUUGUGCUAUAUCAUGCACAGGUGGAUUUACAAAUAUUUUUAUAGACUUUUGAUAUACACUAGUUCAGGCACAAAACUAAAACAUCCUCCCCGCAAAAAGAACUAUAGGCCGACGCUGGAGAUGUCACUCAUCUCCGCAGAGGAGGAGGGAGAGGCCGCCGGCAACACCGCGGGAGCAGCCUCGACAGCAAGGGUCAGACCGCGCGAGCGGCCCGAGCCAGCGCCCGUCACCCCACGGCUCGGAGGAGGGUCACGCGAGGGAGAGCGGCUGUGGCCCGAGCGCUCGUCGUCGUCGUCCAGAUCCUCGCUCCGCCUUCCUCGCCUCGCUCUGCCUUCGACCCUCGAGGCGCCUCUCCUGGCCAUGGUGGCCCCUGAGGGAGUCCUGGAUUAGGGGGUAUCCGGACAGCCGGACUAUAUACAUCAUCCGGACUAUUGGAGCGUGAAGAUACAAGACUCAAGACUCCGUCCCGUGUCCGGAUGAGACUCUCCUUUGCCUGGGAGACAAGCUUGGUGAUCCGGAUAUUGUAUUUCCUUCCUUGUAACCGACUCCAUGUAAACCCUAGCUCUCUCCGGUGUCUAUAUGAACCGGAGAGGUUGGUCCUUAGAAGGCCGAUCACAACUAUAAUUAUAAUCAUCAUAGGCUAGCUUCUAGGGUUUAGCCUCUACGAUCUCGUGAUAGAUCUACUCUUGUACUACUCAUAUCGUCAAUAUUAAUCAAGCAGAAAGUAGGGUUUUACCUCCAUCGAGAGGGCCCGAACCUAGGUAAACAUUGUGUCCCUUGCUUCCUGUUACCAUCAGCCUAAGACGUACAGAUCGGGACCCCCUAACCGAGAUCCGCCGGUUUUGACACCGACAUUGGUGCUUUCAUUGAGAGUUCCUCUGUGUCGUCGCUGCAAGGCUUGAUGGCGCCUUCAAUCGUCGACAGCACAGUCCAGGGCGAGACUUUUCUCCCCGGACAGAUCUUCUUGUUCGGCGGCUUUGCACUGCGGGCCAAUUCGCUUGGCUAUCUGGAGCAGAUCGACAGCUACGCCCCUAGCAUCCAGGUCAGGUUCAGAAACCUGAACUACACGGCCGUUAUCCGCGGAGACUUGAUCUUCGACCGAAUCGGGCCUGUGCCAGGAGUGCCGGGCAGCGACGAUGAGCACGGCCUAGACCUGCUGUCGGACAGUGCUCGGGAUAUUACCCCUGCAGUAGUCCCGAACCUAAAUCUGGAGCAGACUGCGUGGCCCAAGGACGGGUGGAUGGACCCCGCCCCGCAGGCCGCACACUCAUCGACGGUAGAGCCGAACACAGGCCUCACUUCUAAGGAAGCCUGUGACUCUGGACCCCCGGACUCGUAUCCGGUUGUAGGUUCCAGUCCGCGCGCUCCUGAGCCCGCCGAGCCUGGUUGGGCUCCGGUAAUGGAGUUUACCGCUACGGAUAUCUUCCAGCACUCGCCCUUUUGCGACAUGCUGAACUCAUUAAAGUCUCUCUCUUUGUCAGGAGGCUCUUGGCCGAACUAUGUCCGACUCGAGCGGGAAGCAGGCGACGAAGGAAUUCGCUGCCCACCCACCACUCACUUCAUUGCCACGGUUGAUGAUCUAACCGACGUGCUUGACUUCGACUCCGAAGACAUCGACGAUAUGGACGACGAUGCAGGAGAAGUACAUGAACCACCGCUCACAGGGCGGUGGACAGCCACCUCCUCAUAUGAUAUAUAUAUAUAUAUAUGGUGGACACUCUGAAGGAAACCAAUGGCGAUGAGGCAACGGAGGAUAACCCCUCAGGGAGAAAAACAAAGCAUGGGCGUCAUCGACGCCGCUCCAGGCCCCGCCACAGCAAUACCGGCCCAGGAGACGAUAACAAUCCGGAUGGUGCCGAAGAGGAAUACAACCCUGAUCAGCCCGCCUUCGAGCAGGCCGAGCAGGAAGAUGAGCAGGUCAGCCCAGACAAACAGGCGACAGACGGAUAUCCGAAGGAGGACAACUACAUGCCCCCCCUUCGAAGACAAGAUUAGCCUCGGCGACGACGAGUUUGGCGUGCCUGAGGAUCCCAUGGAGCAGGAGCGCUUCAAGUGUCGGCUUAUGGCCACUGCGAGGAGUCUAAAAAAGAAGCAGCAGCAACUCCAAGUUGAUUAAGACCUGCUCACAGAUAGAUGGACUGAGGUCCUGGCAGCCAGGAAUAUGGACUCGAGCACCACUCGGCUGACCGGCCACCCCGCGGCCGGGAUAAAACGGCAUAUCAGCCCGAAUACCAGCCCGCACCCCCACGCCAAUAAACUACGGCCCGUGGCAACAGGCAAGACCUGCAAGAUAUACUGGAAAACAAAGCAGGAUAGCCAAGAUCGAUCUACUGUUCGCNNNNNNNNNNNNNNNNNNNNNNNNNNNNNNNNNNNNNNNNNNNNNNNNNNNNNNNNNNNNNNNNNNNNNNNNNNNNNNNNNNNNNNNNNNNNNNNNNNNNNNNNNNNNNNNNNNNNNNNNNNNNNNNNNNNNNNNNNNNNNNNNNNNNNNNNNNNNNNNNNNNNNNNNNNNNNNNNNNNNNNNNNNNNNNNNNNNNNNNNNNNNNNNNNNNNNNNNNNNNNNNNNNNNNNNNNNNNNNNACGCGACAAUGACCGUCGCGAUGGAUACACCAUAAACAAGUCCGGCCGGGCCGAACAUAGCCACCCAGAGCAAUUCGAACUGCGUAGCCACAUAGCCCGGCAUAAAGGCGCCGCACACCCCCUCUGCUUCACCGAUGAAGUGAUGGAUCAUGAAUUCCGAGAAGAGUUCAAAGCCGUAAACAUCGAAUCAUACGAUGACACAACAGACCCCGCCUGCAGUACGGAUUGAAGAUUUCCUUCUCCAUAUUCACAUGGCCCGCGGAGACGACCUACACGACAUCAAGUAUCUUCUCCUUAAGCUCAAAGGACCCGCUCGACACUGGCUAAACAGCCUGCCCGCAAAUUCCAUUGGCAGUUGGGAAAACCUGGAAGACGCGUUCCUCGACAACUUCCAGGGCACAUACGUGCGACCACCGGACGCCGAUGAUUUGAGCCACAUUACUCAACAGCCCGGAGAGUCAGCCAGGAAAUUUUGGACUCGGUUCCUAACUAAAAAGAACCAAAUAGUCGACUGUCCGGAUGCUGAAGCCCUGGUGGCUUUUAAGCAUAAUAUCCGUGACAAGUGGCUCCCCCGACACCUCGACCAGGAAAAACCCAAGUCCAUGGCAGCUCUCACGACAGUAAUGACCCGCUUUUGCGCGGGCGAGGACAACUGGUUGGCUCGUAGUAGCACCACACCACAUUAUGGCACUUCGGACGUUUGUGACAAUAACGGCAAGCCACGACACAACAGACACAAGCGACGGAACAAUGGUGACAACACCGAAGACACGACAGUCAACGCCAGAUUCAGCGGAUCCAAAUCCGGUCAGCGGAAGAAGCCGUUCAAAAGAAACAAUCAGGGACCGUCUAGUAUGGACCGCAUACUGGAGCGCUCGUGCCAAAUUCAUGGCACCCCAGACAAGCCAGCCAACCACACCAACAGAGACUGCUGGGUGUUGAAAUAGGCCGGCAAAAUAAACACCGAAAACAAGGACAAGGGGAUGCAUAGCAAUGAUGACGAAGAGCCCCGGCUUCCGAACACGGGGGGACAGAAGAAAUCCCCCCCCCAGGUGAAAACGGUCAACAUGAUCUACGCCACUCACAUUCCCAAGCGGGAAUGGAAGCGAGCACUAUGUGACGUCUAUGCGAUGGAGCUAGUCGCCCACAAAUUCAACCCAUGGUCAGCUUGUUCGAUCACCUUUGAUCGUAGGGAUCACCCUACUAGCAUCCGUCACGCGGCUCAGCCGCAUUGGUCCUAGACCCAAUCAUCGACGGAUUCUACCUCACGCAAGUCCUUAUGGACAGCGGCAGCAGCCUGAACCUGCUUUAUCAGGAUACAAUGUGCAAAAUGGGCAUCGACCCUUCAAGGAUCAAGCCCACCAAAACCACCUUUAAAGGUGUAAUUCCUGGAGUAGAGGCUCGUUGUACGGGCUCUAUAACAUUGGAAGUGGUCUUCGGAUCUCCGGAUAACUUCCGAAGCGAAGAGUUAAUCUUCGAUAUCAUCCCUUUCCGUAGUGGUUACCACGCACUGCUCGGACGAACCGCAUUUGCUAGAUUCAAUGCGGUACCACAUUAUGCAUACCUCAAGCUCAAGAUGCCAGGACCACACGGGGUCAUAACAGUCAACGGAAAUAUGGACCGCUCUCUCCAUACAGAAGAGCAUACUGCAGCCCUCGCGGUGGAAGUACAAUGCGGCCUCCUCCGACAAACCACCAAUCCGGCGACGACAACCUUGAGCACCGUCAAGCGAGUCCGGAGCACCCCGCAACAGGAUCUCCAGGCAUGCAAAGAGUGCGACUAGCAGUCCCGCCUCCUCUUAAGACCCAUCAAAGCAGCAUUCGUGCCACACGUACACAAUUACGCACUCAAAAUACCAUGGGCACAGGCGGAGGCGCAGCAGUGACUCAGUCAACAGUGCGGUAUCACCGCAACAUACCUUCAUAACCUUCCCUUUUUUAUCUUUCAGGAUAUUGCUUUAGGACAGCCUCUUCAGAAGAGCCGGAUUGUCGGACUUACAUAGGAGAGAAAACCAAGGAGGCAACAGGCUUUAUGCACAAAAGGAAAUACCCAGGUGGAAUCUGUUCACGAUCGUUAUACCUGUUUUAUAUACCUACAUGCAGCGUGCCCUUGGAUAGGACAUGUUAAAUAGUCCUAUUUACUUCCGCUUAAAUGCACCCAUUGUAAACAUACGCUUAAACUUAUUAUUCAUCAAUGGGAGAUCAUACACAGCGUCAACUUAUUAUUAUCAUUUGAGCAUUUUUUUUCUUACAAAUGUUUAUUUAAUAUUGCUUCCGUACACCUUGGUACGAUCAAUUUUGCCAAGGGCUUCUUAUGGAACCUCAUAAUACGACAAAACAAGUCCAAAAACUUUCAACAGUGCGACACCCUGAACUUAUAGCACUAUAUGCAUCAGCUCCGAAUCACGUCUUGGGUCAAUAGUUGGGUUUGCCCGGCUCCCUUGUUUUGGUACCUUAUGUUCCGUUAUAUCGGCUAAGGUAGCGCAGGGAGAACUACUGGGAUUGUGUCCCGGUUCUUCCGGACGAGCACCUCAGUAGAGAAAGCCAAAAACUGACCGGCAUGAUGCGGCGAGAGCUGGUCGCUGUUCGAGAGGUCUUAAAAUCCUUAAAGAUUUUUCCACUUUAGGCGAGGAAUCGGCUUCGUCCGAUCUAGGCGUAUAUAGCGCCCCAAUUCGGUCUUCUGAAUCCUAGGGGCUUCGCCGAAAUUUAAAAUUGUAGACUUCUAUGGCUAAGUGGAAGUAUAAAUCCGCAUAGUCCGAUUGCCUUGUUCGCUAUGCCGGAUACCUCCUUAAGGGACCAAAAAUUUGGAUAAAGAGUAUCCGAGGUUUUCCAAGAACACCCCGGUACUAGUUACGUGGGGGCGAAAGCCGACAACUGGCCUACUUUCAGAAUUUUAUAAACAGCCGCACAAAAGGUAAUAUUUUAAAUCAUACAUAACUUUGUCUUAAUAUUACAACAACGACAGAGGUACAUUUACUCAAGGAUUGUGUCCUUGGUACAUUCAUCGGCCACGAGACGAGCGCCCUUCAUAAUGCCAUCGUAAUACUUCUUGGGAUAGCGAUGUGUCUUGCCCUCCGGCGGCCCGUCCUUCACCAGCUUCUCUGCACCCAGCUUGCCCCAAUGCACCUUCGCGCGGGCAAAGGCCCGGCGGGCCCCCUCAAUGCAAACGGAUCGCUUGAUAACUUCAAGCCGCGGACAGGCAUUCACCAUCCGCUUUGUGACGCCCGGGUAAUUAAGCUACAGUGCUCCUCUGCUAAUGAUGCCACGUCACCUCAAUUAUAGUUGCUAAUCUCGAGUUAGUUCGAAACCGAUUCGAAUUCAAAAUCAGGCAAACGAUAAAAGUUUUCAAAUAUUAAAACUAAAAUGUUCGGAGUGAACCAAAUAUUGCAUAGAUAAUUAUGAUGGAAAAACCGUACAUUUAUAAAAUGUUUAAAUACUAUGAGAUAAAUAAAAUAGUAGCAAAGAGAUUAAUUAAAUACCUUUUAUAAUUAAUAAAAUGUCAAACUAAGUUAUUUGGGGUCUAGAUUUAUUUUUGUGACUAUGGACUAAGUUGAAAUACUAAGUGUACAUUUUACUAAAUUAAAAUGCAACUAAAAUAAAGAAAGAAAGAAAUAAUAAAAGAAAACAGAAAACAAACAAAAGAAAAAAAAAGGAAAAGAGAGAAAGGCCCCCCCACUGGGCUUCGGCCCAGCAGGCCGGCCCGUUCGGCCACCGGCCCAACCGGCCACACCCCUCACUCCCAUAACCCCCACCCCUGACAAACCCUAACCCAACCACCCGCAUUCCACCCCCCCACGGCGUUCCCACCCCCCUCCUGAUCCAGAUUGGAUCGGGGACGAAACCCCCACUCCCCCUCGCNNNNNNNNNNNNNNNNNNNNNNNNNNNNNNNNNNNNNNNNNNNNNNNNNNNNNNNNNNNNNNNNNNNNNNNNNNNNNNNNNNNNNNNNNNNNNNNNNNNNNNNNNNNNNNNNNNNNNNNNNNNNNNNNNNNNNNNNNNNNNNNNNNNNNNNNNNNNNNNNNNNNNNNNNNNNNNNNNNNNNNNNNNNNNNNNNNNNNNNNNNNNNNNNNNNNNNNNNNNNNNNNNNNNNNNNNNNNNNNNNNNNNNNNNNNNNNNNNNNNNNNNNNNNNNNNNNNNNNNNNNNNNNNNNNNNNNNNNNNNNNNNNNNNNNNNNNNNNNNNNNNNNNNNNNNNNNNNNNNNNNNNNNNNNNNNNNNNNNNNNNNNNNNNNNNNNNNNNNNNNNNNNNNNNNNNNNNNNNNNNNNNNNNNNNNNNNNNNNNNNNNNNNNNNNNNNNNNNNNNNNNNNNNNNNNNNNNNNNNNNNNNNNNNNNNNNNNNNNNNNNNNNNNNNNNNNNNNNNNNNNNNNNNNNNNNNNNNNNNNNNNNNNNNNNNNNNNNNNNNNNNNNNNNNNNNNNNNNNNNNNNNNNNNNNNNNNNNNNNNNCCCGCGCCCCUCGGGCAUUCGCCGUUCGGGCGACACUCGGCGCCCGCGCCCGUGCCCGUAACCACCGUCCAGCGCCCGUUAAGGCCCUGGGCCACUUACAUGCGGGCCCCAGCGCCCAGAACGUUUUAUAAAAUAAAAGAGUUAAAAUAAUAAUAAUAAUAAUAAUAAAAAUAUUAAAUAAUAAAAAUAAUUAAUUAAUUAAUUAACUUAAUUAAUUCUGAUUAACUUAGCUAAUUAAGAUUAAUUAACCUAAUCACUAAUUAACCUAAUUAACUGUUAAGUAAAUAAUUAAUCUAAUUAAUCCUGGUUAAUUAACCUAAUAACUAAUUAACCUAAUUAACUACUGUUAAUUAAACUUAAUUAGGUUAAUUAGUUAACAGUGUAUGACGAACGGGACCCACCUGUCAGGGUUGACUCAGUCAACCCCUGUUGACUGCUGAUGUCAGCAUGACAUCAUGCUGACGUCAUAAAUACAUUUUUCGAAUUAGUUAAAUAAAUAAUUAAAUUCCAGAAAUUAAUAAAAUCUUUAGAAAAUCAUAUCUUUUAAUCCGUAACUCGGAUUUAAAUAUUUUCAACAUGAAAGUUGUUCAGAACGACGAGACGAAUCCGGAUACGCGGUCCGUUCGUCCGCCACACACCCCUAACCUAUCGAACCCGCAAAUUUUCCCCUCCGGUUCCUCUGCCCGAAAACACGAAACACCGGGAAUACUUUCCCGGGGGUUUUCCCCCCCUUCACCGGUAUCACCUACUACCGCGUUAGGGCACACCGAACACCGCGUAUUGCCUUGAUAUAUUUUGUGGUGCUUUGUUUGCUCCGUAUUCAUUAUUUCUUCCCCCUCUUCUCUCCGGUAGACUACGAGACCGACGCUGCUGCUGACCAGUUCGACUACGGAGUUGACGACCCCUCUCUCUUGCCAGAGCAACCAGGCAAGCCCCCCCCCCCUUGAUCACCAGAUAUCGCCUAUUCUAUUCUAUACUGCUUGCAUUAGAGUAGUGUAGCAUGUUACUGCUUUCCGUUAAUCCUAUUCUGAUGCAUAGCCUGUCAUUGCUGCUACAGUCAUUGAUACAUUACCCACAAUCCUAAAUGCUUAGUAUAGGAUGCUAGUGUUCCAUCAGUGACCCUACACUCUUGUCCGUCUGCCAUGCUAUACUACUGGGUUGUGAUCACUUCGGGAGGUGAUCACGGGCAUAUACUAUAUACUUUACACUGUUACAUUACCUGUGAUACUGUUCGGAGUUGGGGGCUGAAAGGACAGGUGGCUCCAUCCAGGUAGAGGUGGGCCUGGGUUCCCGACGGCCCUCGACUGUUACUUUGUGGUGGAGCGACAGGGCAGGUUGAGACCACCUAGGAGACAGGUGGGCCUGGCCCUGUUCGGCGUUCGCGGAUACUUAACACGCUUAACGAGAUCUUGGUAUUUGAUCUGAGUCGUCUACAAGCCUAUACGCACUAACCAUCUACGUGGGAGUAGUUAUGGGUAUCCCGACGUCGUGGUAUCAGCCGAAGCACUUCAGACGUCAGCGACGGAGCGGCGCGCGCCGGAUUGGAACGUAAGCCUGCUCUUGUAUUAAGGGGGCUAGUUCCGCUUUCGGCCGCGUACGCAACGUGCAGGUGUGCUAUGGGCGAUGGGCCCAGACCCCUGUGCGCUUAGGUUUAGACCGGCGUGCUGGCCUCUCUGUUUUGCCUAGGUGGGGCUGCGACGUGUUGAUCUUCCGCGGCCGGGCAUGACCCAGGAAAGUGUGUCCGGCCAAAUGAGAUCGAGCGUGUUGGGGAAUGUGGUGCACCCCUGCAGGGAAGUUAAUCUAUUCGAAUAGCCGUGAUCUUCGGUAACAGGACGACUUGGAGUUGUACCUUGACCUUAUGACAACUAGAACCGGAUACUUAAUAAAACACACCCUUCCAAGUGCCAGAUACAACCGGUGGUCGCUCUCCCUCAGGGAUACGAGGGGAGGAUCGCCGGGUAGGAUUAUGCUAUGAGAUGCUAUUUGGAGAUGCUACUUGGAGGACUUCAAUCUACUCUCUUCUACGUGCUACGAGGCGGAGGCUGCCAGAAGCGUAGUCUUCGACAGGAUUAGCUAUCCCCCUCUUAUUCUGGCAUUCUGCAGUUCAGUCCACUGAUAUGGCCUCCUUACACAUAUACCCAUGCAUGUGUAGUGUAGUUCCUUGCUUGCGAGUACUUUGGAUGAGUACUCACGGUUGCUUUCUCCCCCCUUUUUCCCCCUUUCCUUUCUUUCUGGUUGUCGCAACCAGAUGCUGGAGCCCUGGAGCCAGACGCCACCGUCGACGACGACCCCUACUACACUGGAGGUGCCUACUACUACGUGCUGCCCGCUGAUGACGACCGGGAGUAGUUUAGGAGGAUCCCAGGCAGGAGGCCUGCGCCUCUUUCGAUCUGUAACCCAGUUUGUGCUAGCCUUCUUAAGGCAAACUUGUUCAACUUAUGUCUGUACUCAGAUAUUGUUGCUUCCGCUGACUCGUCUAUGAUCGAGUACUUGUAUUCGAGCCCUCGAGGCCCCUGGCUUGUAUUAUGAUGCUUGUAUGACUUAUUUAUGUUUAGAGUUGUGUUGUGAUAUCUUCCCGUGAGUCCCUGAUCUUGAUCGUACACACUUGCGUGCAUGAUUAGUGUACGAUUAAAUCGGGGGCGUCACAAGUUGGUAUCAGAGCCGACUGCCUGUAGGAAUCCCCCUUCCACACUCCUUGGCCGAAGUCGAGUCUAGACAUUACAAAAACUUUUACUAACUUGGCUGUGUGCCUUACGGGCCCACGUCGCCAUUGGGUGGUAUUAGGAUCUUUUACUCCUCGACCUUUACUCUGGGACUCUGACAUCUCUUCUAUUCGGGUUAAAUGAAUUUUACUAAAUCUAACAUUAGGAUCUCGUUAUCAUUUUCACCCGGAGAGCCCCUUAUUAUUUAUGAUCGUCUGCUGCACCAGAAGAUUCCGAAGAUACUCUACGAUGUGCUCUCGAAACUAUGUGCCAUCGCUUUUGCAAUUCACUUCCAUCGAUAAAUCCCUCUGGAUAACUAUUUACACCUAUCGUUCAUAUUGUCAUCCCCAGUUGCUCUUGUUAUUACAAGAUGUCCUGAAAUACUCUUCGAUAUUCCGAGAAUUCUUUACGCUUACUGCCCUGCAGUUCCUUGCUGCAUGAAUACCCCUACGAAUAAUUACUCGCGCUUGCCGAGUAUCCGCUCAUCCCCAGUUGUUCAGGUGUUUCACAAAAAUCUUCAAAAUAAUAUUCGAUCUUCCAAAAAUCCUCUGGAGCCUUUGGCUCUUGAAAUUCUUGCUUGCUUGCAUUAUGGUUAAUCCCAUAAGUCUCGUAGUCCUAAUGACAUUCCUUGUCAUUAUCAUUUUGAGUCUGUUGACUCAAUAUGUUUGCGAAUACACGCAAUCAUCAUUGAUCCUUAUAAAUUACUUUUCCGGCCAAGCUGCCAUUCUUUUAACUGGAACUGGUUCCCGACCAAUCCAAUUGUCUUUGAUUGUACCCUAAGUCUAUUGAACUUAUCCAUCCUUGGUCAGAGCGUCUACUUCUGAUCCUUUGUUUUGGAAAUCAUAAUUCCUUUGUUAUCUAAGCAUCAAAUUAUUCAGUUGUCCUAUAAUAUGAUGCCUGUGCAUUUUUUUCCUCUGAUUGAGUACCGAUACUCACAUCAGCUCCGUUGUGGAUCGCCCGAUCCAUUGUUGGAUUUUACCUGACAACGCCCUUCAUAUUCAAUAACCUUGUGAGCCUUUGCUCGGAUACGUAAUGCCUUUGGUAAAUUGUAUCCUCUGCUUUGUCAACCAUGCUCUACCUCCGAGCUUGAGUUAUUUACCCCUGAAGUUGAUGGUAUACGUUCCUAAGAUGCCACGAUGGGUUGAACGUAUACCUUCCUUAAUUUGUGUGAACCCAAGAGUUUUCAUGGGUCAUAACGUUCCGGUAUUCCGCAAGUUAAACUUUCAAACUCUAAACAUUCUUAACUUAGAGUAGUAAAUGGGAAGUUGUGUAUUGGAGAAGUGGGAGUCGACCUUGAACCUUGCGUUCAUGCCCAUGGACACGAUGCUAAUCUUAUCAUGGGUGCUCCUCUUAAACCCUCUUUGGUAUAAGUUUUUAUAUCUGGGAUUCGGCCUUUUGCAAUCGUGGUUCCGGCCAUGUUCUCCUUUUUACUACCGUUUCUUGGACAAGUUGAAGUACUUGCCUUCUGCAGAUCAUUGCACCUGUCCAACCUUUACUUUGCUCUACUGUUGAGUAUUAAACUCUGGUAUCUCAAGAAUAUCAUGGAACUGCAUAACUUAUUAUGUGUUCUUCAUCAACUAUUAAUUCUCACUGAUUCCAAUUUUCUCGGGUUCUGGGUUGUUGUCAAUCGAGAACACCGAUUCCACAUUUCGGUUCGAUAACCCUAAGUAAUCUUCGUUGCUUAUGAGUUUAAUAUUCCUUCCCAUCAUUCCUAGCCUGUUUGGCUAUAUCAUUGUCGUGUCGAUUCUAACUGUGCUACCUGGUCCUUAUUCUCGGAGCACCAAAUUUCGACGAUGAACUAACCUUACGUCGAUCCUCAUCGUCAUAUCAUUUCGCCUUGAACAACAAGCUUGGUUUCGAGUUUGUGUCGUACCCUUGGUUCCAAUAACCUUUCACUUCAUCAUUACUUGACUUGAUGUCGUUACCGAUCGAUUACAUCUUCAUGAACUCUCGCGACAAAGGUGUCGUGAUCAUCAACAUUCUAAGCUCAUCCAGGAUAUCAAUUGAAUUCAAGAUGAGAAAUAACAUCCUUGCCCUCGAUGAAUUGUAUUAUCGUCGACCACUUUAUUGCCUUCCCACCAACACAAGCUUGUUCAUGUUUGGUGUUAUACCUUGAGUUCCUUGCUAUCCAGCAAUUGUUCUUCUUUACCUUGGAGUAUUACCAUCCUUUAUGUCAAGAAUGUUCUGAGAUUUGUUCCACCUCUUGAGAAUUCUUGGCAUAGAAAUACUUCUCACCAUCACCAUUCUUUAUUGGUCCCCGUGUUAAUUCCAACAAGUGAACGGUGUUGUUUGGAUUCUUUCCUUCUAGCAACCCUAUUUUUUUUGAAGUUAAUGGUCGAAAGUUCAUUCUUAGACUAUUGACUAGUGAAUCACCAUUCUGACAUUGGUCGUGCAACCCAACCCAUAUUUCGGGCGCACCUUUCAACCAAUGUUUAAUUGUGUAUGUUUUCCUCGAGCAUACUUCCUUAUAUCAUUUGAUCUGACCAAUGUUAUCUCCUUGUUCACUUAAUUGUGGAGAUCCAUCUUUUGGAUACCUCAUUGAAUUAUCGUUGAGUCCAUCAGCCACCUCAUCAUCCUCUCCUUGGGUUAAUGAUGAACUCUUGUUAACGGAAAUCACUUCUUAGUUCAUUUCCCGAGAAUCUUACAGUGUCAUCCCGUCAAUUUGUGUUGCGCCUUUUCUUCUCGGACAUCCUGAGUCUGAGGUACCAUGACACCAAUUGGACCUGAAUCUCGGUCAGAUAUGAUGGUUGGGACAACUUUCCAGGAUUUAUGUUGUUGGUCCUUUGAUGACCCGGUAACAUGAUGUCAUGCCUAGCACCCCCCCCCCCCGGCUGGAGGACCUAUCAUUAUAGAUUCCUUUUCAGCAAGGUUAUCCAUUCACCCAUGAGGAAAUUGUAAGACUUAUUCUACAAGUUGUUCCUGAUGGAUCCUUCGUGUUUCCAGAGUCUGAUCUUCACAUGAAGACCAUGUCAAUGCUAUCUCGAAGCAUGUCUACUCCAAUUUUCAACAAGAACAUUUGAAACCCAAUGUUAAAUGUUUCCUGCCCAAUUAUCCAAACACCGUUGAAUGGGUAAUGUCAUAAAAAUUUCUCUUCCCUUUCCUAAAGGGGUUUUCUACGCUAUAUCCCGUCAUGACUAUCAUGCGUUGCUUGCCCUUGGGAAGGAUAUACCCCCUAAUAUAUGUGUUUAAAACACAUUUUCCUUUUCAUUGUUUUGUUUAAUCUGAUAAUCUUAUUUUCCUUUCCAUUGGUUGGUUUAACCUUUCUUGAGGUCUAUAUAAUCUAAGCAGUAUUAUUCUCCUGCUUAUGUAAACACCUCGGUGUACAACUCUGUCAGUAAGGCCCUGUUGAAAUUGUCGAUAGCAUUCCGGUCACCACCGAUGGAUGAGAACUCUGCCUAUUGGUCCGCCUCGUUCAACGAGCAGGAAAAUGGUUCUCUUCGUCCCUCGCCCCUGGUACCGACAUUAUGUCGACAUAACUGACAGGCUACCCUCUGACAUGCCUUGCUAUUGUGACCGUGCGAGAUGUCACCGCUCCUAUUUUUAACCCACAUGGUGGGCCCAUAACCCACAGUUCCACAGGAUCGAAACCUGACUCUCCUGUACACCCCCUGUUCCCAAAGUUAUUCCUCACGCGUGGCCUCAUGUGUAAUUCACGAGCCACCUUCUGAUGAGAUCAUCAAUUUGGUAUCAGACGCAAUACUUAUUCCCAUUGCUCUGAACCCCUUUCACACUUCGAUUCAGGCAACGAACGAUUACCUAUGCGCUUGAAACUUCUAUUUUGCGCCUUCUUGCUAUGCUCUCGAUAUUGUCUUAAAUUUCAAUUCGAGAGUUACUUUCCGCCACCUUCCUCGUUGUUGCCUACCAGAUAAUCUACCCUGCAGAGAUCCAUUCUUCGGUAUACCCCCUUAAUCUUUCGUUAGUACGAUGAAAUUUCCGAAGAAAGGAUGAUGACUUCAUCAUGAUGACCUGAAGCAGAGAAAGGAAGACAUCAAUAUAAUGGGUCGACCUCUUCGAGAAGAGCAACCAAGACUGAGAAGAUCCGUUAGCAUUUCGUAAUUAGAUCCCUCCCCCCUUACUCCUGCUCCUAAAUCUCGGGACGAGAUUUCUUGUAGUGGAGGAGAAUUGUGACGCCCGGGUAAUUAAGCUACAGUGCUCCUCUGCUAAUGAUGCCACGUCACCUCAAUUAUAGUUGCUAAUCUCGAGUUAGUUCGAAACCGAUUCAAAUUCAAAAUCAGGCAAACGAUAAAAGUUUUCAAAUAUUAAAACUAAAAUGUUCGGAGUGAACCAAAUAUUGCAUAGAUAAUUAUGAUGGGAAAACCGUACAUUUAUAAAAUGUUUAAAUACUAUGAGAUAAAUAAAAUAGUAGCAAAGAGAUUAAUUAAAUACCUUUUAUAAUUAAUAAAAUGUCAAACUAAGUUAUUUGGGGUCUGGAUUUAUUUUUGUGACUAUGGACUAAGUUGAAAUACUAAGUGUACAUUUUACUAAAUUAAAAUGCAACUAAAAUAAAGAAAGAAAGAAAUAAUAAAAGAAAACAGAAAACAAACAAAAGAAAAAAAAAGGAAAAGAGAGAAAGGCCCCCCCACUGGGCUUCGGCCCAGCAGGCCGGCCCGUUCGGCCACCGGCCCAACCGGCCACACCCCUCACUCCCAUAACCCCCACCCCUGACAAACCCUAACCCAACCACCCGCAUUCCACCCCCCCACGGCGUUCCCACCCCCCUCCUGAUCCAGAUUGGAUCGGGGACGAAACCCCCACUCCCCCUCGCNNNNNNNNNNNNNNNNNNNNNNNNNNNNNNNNNNNNNNNNNNNNNNNNNNNNNNNNNNNNNNNNNNNNNNNNNNNNNNNNNNNNNNNNNNNNNNNNNNNNNNNNNNNNNNNNNNNNNNNNNNNNNNNNNNNNNNNNNNNNNNNNNNNNNNNNNNNNNNNNNNNNNNNNNNNNNNNNNNNNNNNNNNNNNNNNNNNNNNNNNNNNNNNNNNNNNNNNNNNNNNNNNNNNNNNNNNNNNNNNNNNNNNNNNNNNNNNNNNNNNNNNNNNNNNNNNNNNNNNNNNNNNNNNNNNNNNNNNNNNNNNNNNNNNNNNNNNNNNNNNNNNNNNNNNNNNNNNNNNNNNNNNNNNNNNNNNNNNNNNNNNNNNNNNNNNNNNNNNNNNNNNNNNNNNNNNNNNNNNNNNNNNNNNNNNNNNNNNNNNNNNNNNNNNNNNNNNNNNNNNNNNNNNNNNNNNNNNNNNNNNNNNNNNNNNNNNNNNNNNNNNNNNNNNNNNNNNNNNNNNNNNNNNNNNNNNNNNNNNNNNNNNNNNNNNNNNNNNNNNNNNNNNNNNNNNNNNNNNNNNNNNNNNNNNNNNNNNNNNNNNNNNNNNNNNNNNNNNNNNNNNNNNNNNNNNNNNNNNNNNNNNNNNNNNNNNNNNNNNNNNNNNNNNNNNNNNNNNNNNNNNNNNNNNNNNNNNNNNNNNNNNNNNNNNNNNNNNNNNNNNNNNNNNNNNNNNNNNNNNNNNNNCCUCCCACCGGCGCCCCAUCACCGGCCGGCCGCCCUGGCGCGCACCGGCGCCUGGCCGCAUCGUGCGACCCGCGCCCCUCGGGCAUUCGCCAUUCGGGCGACACUCGGCGCCCGCGCCCGUGCCCGUAACCACCGUCCAGCGCCCGUUAAGGCCCUGGGCCACUUACAUGCGGGCCCCAGCGCCCAGAACGUUUUAUAAAAUAAAAGAGUUAAAAUAAUAAUAAUAAUAAUAAUAAUAAUAAACAAUAUUAAAUAAUAAAAAUAAUUAAUUAAUUAAUUAACUUAAUUAAUUCUGAUUAACUUAGCUAAUUAAGAUUAAUUAACCUAAUCACUAAUUAACCUAAUCACUAAUUAACCUAAUUAACUGUUAAGUAAAUAAUUAAUCUAAUUAAUCCUGGUUAAUUAACCUAAUAACUAAUUAACCUAAUUAACUACUGUUAAUUAAACUUAAUUAGGUUAAUUAGUUAACAGUGUAUGACGAACGGGACCCGCCUGUCAGGGUUGACUCAGUCAACCCCUGUUGACUGCUGACGUCAGCAUGACAUCAUGCUGACGUCAUAAAUACAUUUUUUCGAAUUAAUUAAAUAAAUAAUUAAAUUCCAGAAAUUAAUAAAAUCUUUAGAAAAUCAUAUCUUUUAAUCCGUAACUCGGAUUUAAAUAUUUUCAUCAUGAAAGUUGUUCAGAACGACGAGACGAAUCCGGAUACGCGGUCCGUUCGUCCGCCACACACCCCUAACCUAUCGAACCCACAACUUUUCCCCUCCGGUUCCUCUGCCCGAAAACACGAAACACCGGGAAUACUUUCCCGGGGGUUUUCCCCCCCUUCACCGGUAUCACCUACUACCGCGUUAGGGCACACCGAACACCGCGUAUUGCCUUGAUAUAUUUUGUGGUGCUUUGUUUGCUCCGUAUUCAUUAUUUCUUCCCCCUCUUCUCUCCGGUAGACUACGAGACCGACGCUGCUGCUGACCAGUUCGACUACGGAGUUGACGACCCCUCUCUCUUGCCAGAGCAACCAGGCAAGCCCCCCCCCCCUUGAUCACCAGAUAUCGCCUAUUCUAUUCUAUACUGCUUGCAUUAGAGUAGUGUAGCAUGUUACUGCUUUCCGUUAAUCCUAUUCUGAUGCAUAGCCUGUCAUUGCUGCUACAGUCAUUGAUACAUUACCCGCAAUCCUAAAUGCUUAGUAUAGGAUGCUAGUGUUCCAUCAGUGACCCUACACUCUUGUCCGUCUGCCAUGCUAUACUACUGGGCUGUGAUCACUUCGGGAGGUGAUCACGGGCAUAUACUAUAUACUUUACACUGUUACAUUACCUGUGAUACUGUUCGGAGUUGGGGGCUGAAAGGACAGGUGGCUCCAUCCCGGUAGAGGUGGGCCUGGGUUCCCGACGGCCCUCGACUGUUACUUUGUGGCGGAGCGACAGGGCAGGUUGAGACCACCUAGGAGACAGGUGGGCCUGGCACUGUUCGGCGUUCGCGGAUACUUAACACGCUUAACGAGAUCUUGGUAUUUGAUCUGAGUCGGCUACGAGCCUAUACGCACUAACCAUCUACGUGGGAGUAGUUAUGGGUAUCCCGACGUCGUGGUAUCAGCCGAAGCACUUCAGACGUCAGCGACGGAGCGGCGCGCGCCGGAUUGGAACGUAAGCCUGCUCUUGUAUUAAGGGGGCUAGUUCCGCUUUCGGCCGCGUACGCAACGUGUAGGUGUGCUAUGGGCGAUGGGCCCAGACCCCUGUGCGCUUAGGUUUAGACCGGCGUGCUGGCCUCUCUGUUUUGCCUAGGUGGGGCUGCGACGUGUUGAUCUUCCGCGGCCGGGCAUGACCCAGGAAAGUGUGUCCGGCCAAAUGAGAUCGAGCGUGUUGGGGAAUGUGGUGCACCCCUGCAGGGAAGUUAAUCUAUUCGAAUAGCCGUGAUCUUCGGUAACAGGACGACUUGGAGUUGUACCUUGACCUUAUGACAACUAGAACCGGAUACUUAAUAAAACACACCCUUCCAAGUGCCAGAUACAACCGGUGGUCGCUCUCCCUCAGGGAUACGAGGGGAGGAUCGCCGGGUAGGAUUAUGCUAUAAGAUGCUACUUGGAGAUGCUACUUGGAGGACUUCAAUCUACUCUCUUCUACGUGCUACGAGGCGGAGGCUGCCAGAAGCGUAGUCUUCGACAGGAUUAGCUAUCCCCCUCUUAUUCUGGCAUUCUGCAGUUCAGUCCACUGAUAUGGCCUCCUUACACAUAUACCCAUGCAUAUGUAGUGUAGUUCCUUGCUUGCGAGUACUUUGGAUGAGUACUCACGGUUGCUUUCUCCCCCCUUUUUCCCCCUUUCCUUUCUUUCUGGUUGUCGCAACCAGAUGCUGGAGCCCUGGAGCCAGACGCCACCGUCGACGACGACCCCUACUACACUGGAGGUGCCUACUACUACGUGCUGCCCGCUGAUGACGACCGGGAGUAGUUUAGGAGGAUCCCAGGCAGGAGGCCUGCGCCUCUUUCGAUCUGUAACCCAGUUUGUGCUAGCCUUCUUAAGGCAAACUUGUUCAACUUAUGUCUGUACUCAGAUAUUGUUGCUUCCGCUGACUCGUCUAUGAUCGAGUACUUGUAUUCGAGCCCUCGAGGCCCCUGGCUUGUAUUAUGAUGCUUGUAUGACUUAUUUAUGUUUAGAGUUGUGUUGUGAUAUCUUCCCGUGAGUCCCUGAUCUUGAUCGUACACAUUUGCGUGCAUGAUUAGUGUACGAUUAAAUCGGGGGCGUCACACGCUUGAUCAGGCCGAAUUAGCUAGUGGGCAGGGGCUCACUAGGCCAUAUCCGGACUAUGAAAUCUUUCAUAGCCACUUCGGCCGCCCUGUGGAGUUCGACCAACUGUUUCAGUUGGUCAUUCAGAGGCAUUGGGUGUUUGGGCCCAGCAUACUAGGACCAGAACAGCUUCUCCGUUGAGCUCCCCUCCUUGGCACGGUAGAACUCCGCGGCAUCUGAUACGCUGCGUGGUGGAUCUGCGAAUGCCCCUGGAGAGCUCCGAAUUCGGGUAAGUAAAAGAAAUGCCUCCUCCACAUGUUUGCUUUGCAUAAAGAAUGUCUUACCCGCCGCUAUCUUCUUGGCCGCCUGGAUUUCCUGCUGUGCCUUGUCGGCUUCGGCCUUGCCGUCUUUCAUACUCGCAAGGGCCUUCGCAAGCUCGGCCUCUUUCAUCUUAAGAUCAUGCUCCAUGGACUCGAACUUCUUGCCGAGCUCCUGGAGCUCUUGCUGUACCUCGCCCACUCUAGCAUCUUGCUUUUCGCGCUCCUUGGAUUCCAAGGCCGCCUUGUCUUCGGCCUCGGACAACGCUUUCUUCAGAGACGCCACUUUGAUGGUGGCCCCUGUUACAUAGUCACGACACUUCAUCGUUAGAAUAACCAUUUUUAUCUAUCCUUUAUUACAUGAGAGCAGGGAAUCACUCACCUUUGUUCUCUUCGAGCUGCCUCUUCGUGAGGUCGAGCUCCCCCUGCGCCUGCUCCAGGUCCCGCUUUAGUCCGGCGACCUUGGCUGUGCAGACAGCAGUGGCAAGUAGCACAGCCUGCUUAUUCAUAUGCACACUUAUUAUUAGACUCCUACAGAUUAUAAUUGACCCUCCGUUUGGCUUUUCUUUCCAAACACCAAACAGAGUAUCAGGGGCUACUACCUAUCGGGUGGUAAUUUCACACAUUUUUAUUACUUACCUCAAAGCCUGUCAGGAGGCUGGUGCAAGCUUCGGUUAGUCCGCUCUUGGCGGACAAAACCUUCUGAAUCACCGCACUCAUAAGAGUACGGUGCUCUUCAUCCAUGGAAGCGCCGCGAAGCGCUUCCAGCAGAUAAUCCGACGCCUCGGGCAUAACGGAAGUCCUCGGCACGGACGGCUCGCCCUCCCUAACGAGGGGCUGCCCGCAUGAGUCCGGAACCGUUGGAGGUUCCGGAAUAGUGUUCGGCUGAGAGCCCGGCCUACUGCGGCUCUCAUCGACACGAUCCGCGGGGAUCUUGAACCCCGCGUGUCUGACAUCUAGAAUUCCGCCUUGGGGCGUCUCCAGAGUCACCUCCCCCCACUCUGGGAGCCUUCGGGACAACACCUCCAUGUCAUCCGCGGGCUGAGGAGUAGUGGCCGUCGGGAGCGAGUUCAUCGCUGAAUUGCUUAGGGACCCAUCCGAAGACGAUACCUCGGGAUGAACCCUGGCCGGACUGCAUAUAUGUUCGGCGUUAUGAAAAGACUAUGAAGUGAAAUCACGAUAGAGUGCGGAUACUUACGAUCGCGCUAGGGGCUUCCCCCUGGGCAGCCACCCCUCCUCGCUAUGGGCGGCCGUGGCGGAGUAGUUCGGAAGGGACACCUUUCCCUUCUUGGACGUCCCAGCCUCCUCCUCCGGAGCGGCUUUCCUCUUUUUCUCCUCCCCGGUGCGGGGAGGUAGAGUUUCUUCUUGCUUCCCCCCGCCUCCGUGGGAGGAAUCUGCCUCGUCGUCGUCGGACGACGAGGGUAUGAUGGCCUUGCGCUGGGGGCCUUUCCCGGCCCCCUGGUCCGCCUUCUCAGGCCCCUCAUCCUCUCCGGAUGGGGUGGCCCCUUCUUCUUCUUCCUCCCCUUCAGGGGAGGAGUGUGCCUUGUCGUCUUCGGACAAGGCUUCCGGUACAACCUUACGCCGGAGACCCUUCCUGGUCCCCGGGGCCUUCUUUUCGGCCUUCUUCUCUGGUACCUUGUAGGGCACCGGGAAUAGCAUCUCCGUCAGGAGAGCAUCAGCUGGGCCUUCUGGCAGCGGAGCCGGACAGUCAAUCCUCUCCGCUGUCUCCACAUAAUCCUGAUUAAAUAUGCACAAUUACUUAAGACUCCCCCACGAAUAUAUUGGGAAGAGCUGAAUCUGGUGGUAGUCAGAAAACUCACGGGACGAGGAGGCCGCGCGGCGUGAAGUCCACGGUCCUCGGAUGUGGGAGGAGGUACUUCGAAGGCCUUGAACAGCGCCUUCCAUGCGUCUUUAUGUGUCAUGCCGUAGAGCCUCCGAAGCGUCUGGUGUUCGGCCGGGACGAACUCCCACAGAUUAAAUGCCCGCCUUUGGCACGGAAGAAUCCGCCGAACGAGCAUGACCUGGAUCACGUUGACAAGCUUGAUGUUCUUGUCCUUCAUGCUCUUGAUGCAGUUUUGGAGUCCGGUCAGUGCUACCUCUUGAACACUGCGUUGGAUUUCCCCGAAGAGGAGAGGAUGAUGCAGCAAAGUAGCGUAAGUAUUUCCCUCGGUUUUUGAGAACCAAGGUAUCAAUCCAGUAGGAGACCACGCACAAGUCCCUCGCACCUACACAAAAUGAUAGCUCCUCGCAACCAACGCGAUUAGGGGUUUGUCAAUCCCUUCACGGUCACUUAUGAGAGUGAGAUCUGAUAGAGAUGGUAAAUAAUAUUUUUGGUAUUUUUGGUAUAGAGAUGCAAAGUGAAAAGUAAAAGGCAAAGUAAAAACAAAGCAAGUAAUAAAGUAAUGGAGAUUGAUAUGAUGAGAAUAGACCUGGGGGCCAUAGGUUUCACUAGUGGCUUCUCUCAAGAGCAUAGAUAUUCUACGGUGGGUGAACAAAUUACUGUUGAGCAAUUGACAGAAUUGAGCAUAGUUAUGAGUAUAUCUAGGUAUGAUCAUGUAUAUAGGCAUCAUGUCCGAGACAUGUAGAUCGAAAUGAUUCUGCAUCUACUACUAUUACUCCACUCAUCGACCGCUAUCCAGCAUGCAUCUAGAGUAUUAAGUUAAAAACAGAGUAACGCCUUAAGCAAGAUGACAUGAUGUAGAGGGAUAAAUUCAUGCAAUAUGAUAAAAACCCAUCUUGUUAUCCUCGAUGGCAACAAUACAAUACGUGCCUUGCUGCCCCUUCUGUCACUGGGAAAGGACACCGCAAGAUUGAACCCGAAGCUAAGCACUUCUCCCAUUGCAAGAACUACCAAUCUAGUUGGCCAAAGCAAAAGGAUAAUUCGAAGAGACUUGCAAAGAUAACUCAAUCAUACAUAAAAGAAUUCAGAGAAGAUUCAAAUAUUAUGCAUAGAUAAGCUGGAUCAUAAACCCACAAUUCAUCGGUCUCGACAAACACACCGCAAAAAGAAGAUUACAUCGAAUAGAUCUCCAUGAGAGAGGGGCAGAACAUUGUAUUGAGAUCCAAAAAUAGAGAAGAAGCCAUCUAGCUACUAGCUAUGGACCCGAAGGUCUGAAGUAAACUACUCACACUUCAUCGGAGGGGCUAUGGUGUUGAUGUAGAAGCCCUCCAUGGUGGAUGCCCCCUCCGGUGGAGCUCCGGAACAGGCCCCAAGAUGGGAUCUCAUGGAUACAGAAGGUUGCGGUGGUGGAAUUAGGUUUUUGGCUCCUAUUCUGAUCGUUUGGGGAUACGUAGGUAUAUAUAGGAGGAAGGAGUACGUCGAUGGAGCAACAUGGGGGACACGAGGCAGGGGGGCACGCCCUAGGGGGGGCGCCCCCCACCCUCGUGACCGCCUCUGUUACAUCUUGGAGUAGGGUCCAAGUCUCCUGGAUCAUGUUCGGUGAGAAAAUCACGUUCCUGAAGGUUUUAUUCCGUUUGGACUCCGUUUCAUAUUCUGUUUCUUCGAAACACUGAAAUAGGCAAAAAACAACAAUUCUGGGCUGGGCCUCCGGUUAAUAGGUUAGUCCCAAAAAUAAUAUAAAAGUGGAAAAGAAAGCCCAAUAUAGUCCAAAACAGUAGAUAAAGUAGCAUGGAGCAAUCAAAAAUUAUAGAUACGUUGGAGACGUAUCAAUCAGCUCUGUAGGUUCGCCCCAGGCCAGGCCCUUAUUUUCCCAGGAGGUGAGCCGCAUGGGGGUUCCGGAUCGGAACUCGGGGGCCGCUGCCCAGUUGGCACCGUGCGGCUCGGUGAUGUAGAACCACCCCGACUGCCACCCUUUCGUGAUCUCCGCAAAGGAGCCGUCAAGCCAGGUGACGUUAGGCAUCUUGCCCACCAUGGCCCCUCCGCACUCCACUUGCUAGCCGCUCGCGAUCUUCGGCUUCACGCAGAAGAUUUGCAGCCACGGGCCGAAGUGAGGCUUGAUGCGGAGGAAGGCCUCGCGUACGAUGAUGAACACCGAUAUGUUGAGGACGAAGUUUGGGGCUAGAUCAUGGAAAUCUAGCCCGUAGUAGAACAUGAGUCCGCGGAUGAAGGGAUGAAGUGGAAACCCCAGUCCACGGACGAAGUGGGCGAGAAACACGACCCUCUCAUGGGGUCCCGGGGUUGGAAUGACCUGCCCGUCAUCCAGUAGCCGGUGUGCUAUGACUGCGGCCAAGUAUCCGGCCGCCCGAAGAUUCAUGAUAUGCUUCUCCUUCACAGUGAAAGCCACCCACUUGCCUCCUGCUCCGGACAUAUUCAGCUAUGCGGAGAGGACUUGUACUAGGGCGCUGGAGCUCGAGGAGGUAAGGAUGAGCAAAGGAGGGGGAAGGCGUGGGUGAAAAUGGGGAGCCCUUAUCCCUUUAUAAAGGCGACGAAAGCGGUGCGCCUCCUCACUCGCCCGUUGGGAAUCGCUUACUUCCCAAGCGCCACGAUUGAUGGCGUGGUGGGAUUACCCAUACCCGUAUUGAUGAGAAUCCCGUGAUAAGGGGACACGAUCUCUGCUUUGACAAGACGUGUCAAGGAAACCGCCUCGCAAUAUGCGCUGUGGCUGGUUGUGGGAAAACGGUACGAAUAAUGACCCGAUCGUAAUGACAUAUCACGUCGUCUAAAAAGUUGUCGGCUGAAAUAGCAUUCUCUCUACGAUGGUAUGUGAAGAUCAUUUUGCAGAUUCGGACAUGGUUUACGUGUUCGAUGAUUACCUUGGAGUAUUCGAAGAAGAAACCCGCCUUGCAAUGCCGAAGACAAAACUGCGCGCCGGACUCAUCGUCAUUGAAGCCUGGUUCAGGGGCUACUGAGGGAGUCCUGGAUUAGGGGGUAUCCGGACAGCCGGACUAUAUACAUCAUCCGGACUAUUGGAGCGUGAAGAUACAAGACUCAAGACUCCGUCCCGUGUCCGAAUGGGACUCUCCUUUGCGUGGGAGACAAGCUUGGCGAUCCGGAUACUGUAUUUCCUUCCUUGUAACCGACUCCAUGUAAACCCUAGCUCUCUCUGGUGUCUAUAUAAACCGGAGAGGUUGGUCCUUAGAAGGCCGAUCACAACUACAAUCAUAAUCAUCAUAGGCUAGCUUCUAGGGUUUAGCCUCUACGAUCUCGUGGUAGAUCUACUCUUGUACUACUCAUAUCGUCAAUAUUAAUCAAGCAGGAAGUAGGGUUUUACCUCCAUCGAGAGAGCCCAAACCUGGGUAAACAUUGUGUACCUUGCUUCCUAUUACCAUCAGCCUAAGACGCACAGAUCGGGACCCCCUACCCAAGAUCCACCGGUUUUGACACCGACAGCCCCCUCUUCGGACACGCCUCCCUCCGGCGAGCCCCUUCUGCUCGGCUCCCCUGAGGGUGCACCGGCGCUGCCUGCUGCCGCCUCCCUGGUGGACGCACCGGCACUGCCCGCUGCUGCCUCCCUGGAGGCCAUCAUUUCGGCAUCGCCGGAGGCUCGCCCACCGGCCCCGGACCUGCACUCCCCAGCUCUGCCAGGGUCCGACGCCUUCCUGGAGCCUGCGACGGCUGCUUCUCCGACCUCUCUGCCCGUGACGACUGCUUCUCCGACCACUCUGCCCCUGGGUAUUGCUGCGGACGUGGCCACCCCCGUCGCCUCCCACCCGCCCCGGACGGUGCCGUACGCAUGCCGGGCUCGGGCCUCUUCAACUCCGGUGACUGCCUCCCGAUGCAGUGCCCGUCUCGACGUGGACCGCCCCCCUGGAGGCCCAGCACCGUCCAUCUCCGAGCGCACUGAGAUCCGGGCCGCGACCCGGAACCUCGAGUCAGGUGCGCUCGACCUCCCUCCCAGUUCUUCCAGUUGCUCGUUUUCUGCUCUUGAGGCUGUUCCUCUGGGCCACCUCGCCAAGGUGGUCGCGGACUCGUCUGUUGUUUUUAGGGGGGAGGUUGGACCCCCUUAGAGCAGAUCGCUGCGAUCCAGGCCCGGGAAAUCCUUGAUGGGAAACUCGCUGAGACCCGGGCCCGUCUCAUCCGCACUCCGGCACCCUAGCGUCCUACGCUGGAAAUCCGUGGCCGCACCCGCUCCCGUACUGCGGCGCUCAGGGCUAGUAGCGCCUCCUCUGUUUUAGGGUCAAGCAGCCCCCCGAUGGGGGUUUAGAUGCGGGUCCUCUUUUUGAACAUCCGCGGCUUCGGCCAUGACGGCCGGCGCCGCCAGCUCGUGGAGUACAUGCGUGACGAGCACAUCGACAUCAUCGCCAUUCAGGAAACCAUGCGCACGGAUUUUUCUCUCCCCGAGUUGGAGUGUCUUAGCCCCCACCUCUUCGCCUGGCAUUGGCUCCCUUCUAGUGGGACCACGAGGCACUCGGGAGGCAUCCUCUUAGGUGUGAAGGAUGCCACCUUUGAGGUGGGCGGUAUGGACUGGGGCGAUUUUUUGUUAGUAUGGAGCUCUUCGAGAGGGCGCUUAACUUCAAGUGGGAGGUUGUCAUUGUAUAUGGACCGGCGGACCACCGCUGCUCCCCGACCUUCCUUGAUGAGCUCCAUCAGAAAGUCUCCGCCUAGACCUUCCCGGUGGUUGUUGGAGGGGAUUUCAACCUCAUUCGCUCCCCAGAUGAAAAGAAUAAUGACCGAAUCGACCGCCCUAGAAUGCAGAUGUUCAACGACUGCAUCGCGGAUCUCGGCCUCCGCGAGCUUGAGCGGACGGGUGCUAGGUUUACCUGGACCAACCGCCAAGCCGACCCGACGCGGUCCGUGCUGAACCGCGUCUUAGUCUCCCCGGAAUGGGAACUUAGAUGUCCCUUGGCCUCGCUUCGUGCUAUUACCAGGAUUGGGUCAGACCACGUCCCUCUCCUCCUCUCCACCGCUGACGAACGCCCUCUCACCCCGCCUCGCUUCAGGUUUGAGAUCUUCUGGCUCAACCAAGCGAGCUUCAGGGAGGCGGUCGCGGCCAAGUGGACCACUGCGCGCUCCUCUCCCCAUCGGUCCAUGUCGGCUGUGGAUUCCUGGUAGUUUUGUGCCAAGCUCGCCCGCCAAUUCAUGAAGGGGUGGGGCGCUAACCUUGGCAGGGACCUCCGUGAACGGAAAAAAGUCCUCCUAGCGGCCAUCCAGGCCUUGGACUACCGCGCGGACACCAUCGGGAUCUCGCCGGAUGAGUGGCUGGUGCGAUAUGAUCUAGAGGAUCAGCUCGCCACCAUAUAUAUGGAUGAAGAAGCGUACUGGAGGCUCCGCGGUACCCAGCGUUGGGUGCUGCGGGGCGAUGCUAAUACAACAUAUUUCCAGGCGAUUGCGAAUGGGCGGCGACGUCGGAACUCCAUCCGCUGUUUGUGGGAUGGUAAUUCCCAGCUCGUCCGCCCCUUGGACAUCCGGACCCAUGUAGAUGGCUUCUAUAAAGCCCUAUUCUCCCCCACCCUUCGGGGUGGGGUCGCUCUGGCACCCGACACCUGGUCGGGCACCCAGCUUGUGUCUGUUGCGGACAAUGCCGUCUUAGUUGCCUCGUUCUCCGAGGAGGAAAUCCUCGCGAAGAUUAAGGGCAUGAACGCCUCCUUGGCACCGGGGCCGGAUGGACUGCCAGUAUCCUUUUUUAAAGAAUUUUGGCAGACCAUCAAACCUGAGAUCAUGGAUCUCUUUGACGAGUUUUUUCGGGGACCAUGGAUCUUGGGCGCCUGAACUAUGGGGUAGUCACUCUUAUCCCCAAAGUUUCGGGUGCGACGGACAUCCGACAAUUCCGCCCCAUCACUGUGAUCAAUGUGAUAUUUUGGAUCCUGGCCAAAGGGUACGCCAAUAGGGUGACCCUGCUCGUAGACUCGAUUACUCACCCCAAUCAGUCGGCCUUCAUUCAGGGCCAUUUUAUCCUGGAUGGGGUGUUGGUCUUCCACGAGGUCCUUCACGAAGUCCGCUCCAAGCACCAACGGGCGGUAUUCCUAAAGCUCGACUUCCAUAAAGCCUAUGACACUGUGCACUAGCCCUUCCUUCGGGAAGUUUUACUCCGCAAGGGCUUUAAUGACCGCUGGGUGACCAGAGUUAUGCAGCUGGUCUCCUGCGGCCGGACCGCUAUUAACAUUAACGGUGAGAUCGGCCCCUUCUUCUCCACACUUUGUGGGGUUCGCCAAGGCGACCCCUUCUCACCGUUCCUGUUUAACAUGGUGGUCGACGCCCUUGCGGCCAUUCUUGACAAAGCCAAAUCGGCUGGCCACAUCCACGGCGUGGUCCCACACCUUGUAGGAGGGGGUGGGGUCUCCCUCCUACAAUAUGCCGACGACACCAUAAUAAUGGUGGAGGGAUCCACGUCCAAUAUUGCCAACCUGAAGUUCCUCCUUCUCUGCUUCCAACAGAUGUCCGGGCUGACCAUCAACUUCGAUAAGAGCGAAGUGCUGGUGCUGGGAUACCCACCGGAGGAGGCCCAGGACAUUGCGGACCGGCUUAAUUGCCGCCUGGGUUCUUUCCCCAUGACUUAUCUGGGGAUCCCCAUUAGUGACUCGCGCCUCACCGUAGCGGAUCUCCGCCCUUCCGUGACCCAAAUGCAACACCGGGUCGAGCCCUGGAAGGGCCGGUGGCUCUCGAAGGCGGCGCGGGUAAUCCUCAUCAACUCCUCGCUGGCUAGCCUCCUCUGGUUCCUCAUGAGCUUCUAUAGACUCCAUGAGACGCUUCACCAGGAGGUGGCCAAAUAUCAAUCCAGGUUUUUCUGGGCUGGCGAGGAGGAUAAGCAAAAAUACCAUAUGGUGAGCUGGCCGGACAUUUGCAAACCCAAGGACCAGGGAGGUCUGGGGAUCUUGUCCUCCCGUCGCAUGAACAUUGCUCUCCUAACCCGAUGGCUAUGGCGUAUCGCCAACGGAGAGGGCAGCCUCUGGCUUACCAUCAUCCAGAAUAAGUACCUCCAUGGACAACCUCUUGCUUUCUGCCAGCGCUCUGGGGGAUCCCAGUUCUGGCAGACUGUGAUUCAGCUCCUCCCCGUGCUCCAAAUUGGCACUUCUAUCUCGGUGGGCUCCGGGUCCUCGGCCCUGUUUUGGUUCGACCGCUGGCUUGGGGACUCCCCUCUGGCCGUCCGCGUCCCGGGCUUAUUUGCCAUUGCGGUUGACCCCAGGAUCUCCGUUGAGACGGCCCUUAUGGACUUAGGGCGUCUUGCCUUUAGGCGCACCUUUGGCCCCCAGGAGGUUGACGCGUGGGACGCCCUUCUAUAGGACAUCGCUCUCUUGCCGAUGGAUGUAGAGGGCGCCGAUGACUCCAUGGCGUGGCGCCGCCUGGAGCCCUCGGGAUGCUUCUCCACGAAGUCCCUGUAUGCCGCCAUCGCCCCUUCGCCGGCCCCUGAGCCCUUUAGCCUGAUCUGGGACAUUCGCCUCCACCUCAAGAUCCGGAUUUUCCUCUGGUGGUGGAUCCGGGGACGUCUCCCCUCUGGGGUUGAAGUCCGCAAGCGUAAUGGACCUGGGGACGGGAUGUGUCCCCUGUGCGCCACGGUUGAGGAUUCGAACCAUAUUUUCUUCAACUGCUCCACUGCCCAGUUCCUGUGGUCGUGCUUCCGUGAAACGGUCGGCGGACAAUGGUGCAAUACCAACUUCCCCGACCUACUCGUGGAGAUCCAUGCCUCCUCCCCGCGUUACCGCAUAUUAGAUGGUUGUGCGUUGGGAUCCUAGCUUGGACGCUCUGGAAUAUCUGCAACAAGCUCGUUAUUCAGAAAGUGCCUCUGCGGCGUGCGACUGACGCGAUCUUCAAAAUGUGUGGCUAUUUGCAGCUUUGGCGGCCGCUUAGCCGCCCCCAGGACCGGAGCGUCAUCGACGCCCUCCUCACCGACCUUCGAUCGAUGGCCUUCCGCAUGGCGCCCCCGCUUCCGCCACCGCCGCCGGAGCCUGAUUAGGCUGGACUCGUCCGUGGCGGUGUUUUUGUGUGUCCUUUUGUUCUUGGGGCUUGUUGAGUUGUGCCCUCAGUAUUAACCCUACUGGUACCUCGCUGUGUGCGUGUGUGACUUUGAGUGUCUCUGUGUGUGUGUGAACUAUGUUGGAUGUUUGGCUAGGACGAUUUUGUUUUAUCUAUAAAACGGGGCGAAAGCCUUUUUCGGUAAAAGAACUAUAGCUUGGAUAAUAGGCAGAAUCAUAGCCAACUCAAAAUCUUGAGUUUUUUUCUAGUUACCAGAAAAUACAAACUCGAAACUUUUGAUAGACAGUCAAGAUCAAUCAUUGGCUUCAUCGCUUAGAGAAGAAGGCCGCCCACACCCGCUUCGCCGCUUCCUCGAGCAGGCAGCUCGCCCCGGUGUACAGCGCUACGAUGCCCAUGAAACCCACCAGAUCGUCCCGUAGCUUCGCCGACCGAGCCGCGUCCCUGCAUGAAUCACAUGAACAACAUCGAUUGAACUAUGGUAGAAAGACAACAUGGAGAAGAGAUGAGGUUGUAGGUACAUCGCUGCUCGAUCUUACCAGACGGCGUCGCCGGAGUUACGCCUGCAGACGUGGUCAGUGAGCUCGCGGAGCAGCUGCUUGUUCAUCCGGCACUCGGCGUCCUUGUCUCUGCCGUACAUCUCGUCCGCCUCCGCCAUCUCGUCGUACAGCUCCUCCUUCAUGCUCUGGAUCCGCUUCAGGACGCGCUCUUUCUCGCCCCCACGAGUGUGAGUUUGCUGCUGCUGCUGCUGCUGGCGGCAUGAGCAAUGUCGUCAGUUAUUUUUUCCUUUGGACGACCACACAUGGGGAAGCUCCCACGUUGCAUUAAGAAGAGGAAACAAAUUUUGUGAAUCAAGAAGAGGAAAAUUGUAUCAGUUUACGAGGAAAAUCGAUCCAAAAUUAGAGACAAAACCGAGCGAAAAUCAUGAACUCCACUACCUAGCUAGAUUAGACUAGGACCGGAGCGCCGCCACAGGCAAGGCGAACAAGCGACACUAAACAUGACAAUACCGUUGAAGGGUGUUCAGGUCUCCACGACCUUAGCAGCCAGAGCCAGCAUAGCAAGGGCGUCGAUCAGGUAGCCGUACGUGCAUGCCAAUGGGCAAAAGCAAUCGAUCGAUUCGAUCCGGGUGUGAAGGUGCGUACCUCGGUGUGGAUGAACCUUGGCACGAGCUGCCGCUGCCCCAGCUCGACGGCCGGCGAGAGCCGCGAUACCACCGUCUCCUGCGUCUGCCGGAGCACAUGGCCGCCCAGCUUCCUCGCCGCGAACCCGAGCGCCGCCGCGGCCAUCGAUCGCCAGUCUCUUCUUUACUCUUAGUACGAGCAGUGCGUUGUAUCGUUCCGUGCGUGUAGUAUUGUCGUUAGGUCAACUCAGGGGCUGCCGUGGCCGCAUGCAUAUAUACGCGGCGCGUCGUGCCAUACGGUCGGUAACAACUCACGUACAAGACAUGUUCAAAAAAAAGAAACUCACGUACCAUACGCCUCCCUUUCCAUCUAAGGAACUUUCUUUAUUUUUCAUGAGGAAAAAAGAACUUUCAUUGACGGCCCCUCAAACACCCGAGGACGCGCCCGGGCGCGUCACGGGCACUGAAUGGUCCCGUCUCAUAUGUUUGCUUCCACAUCCGAAACCCCCAAACCAUGCAGCUCAUGCAACGCUACAUAUAAACACGAUCAACACGCCAGGUCACCAUCGCAUCACCAGACAAAAAGACCAUAAUUCAUCGGAGUUCAUCGGCAGACAGUGCAAAUGCAUAUUGCAAAUACUUAAAACAUAAAUAAAACGGGAAAGGGCGGAGGAAAUCACCAUUUCCUCGCCGGCCCCUUCCCCUUCCGGUCGUCGGCAUGGCUGUGCCCCUCCUCCAUGUAGGCGUCGACGUGUGGAGGAGCGUCGUCGACGGAGUUGGAGGUGGAGCCGUCCUUCAGGUCGAACUCGGAGCUGCACCUUUGGCCCGACAACCUGCAGAGCAGGAGAUCCACCUCCUUCGCAUGGCGGGCCGCCUUCGCCGCCGCCUCCUUGUUUGCCCCGCACUUCGAAAACUCGAUGGCGAGUCGGAGCACCUUGUCAUUCUUGCAGCAGAGGCGCCACACAUCCAUCUUCGAAACUCCCUCACUAUGUUGGUGGCUCGCUCGUUGUGUAUGCUCACUUUCUCCCUUUUUUUCCUUUUCUUUUCAUCUCAUCAAGAUAGACUUCCUCAUGUGCCAUGGGCAGCCAAGUGAACCUUUCUCCUCUAUGGACAAAACAUAAGCAAUUCGCACGCCCGCUGAUUUGCACAUCACGGUCAUGCAACCACGGUCAUCCAAGAAGCAAGUGACAAUCGUGCAUCGGCACCACAUCACACUCAACAUCAUCUUGAUAUGUCUCUACUGAAAUUGGUAUUCGCACGCUGCUAAUCACCUUAAUUGCGCCACAAUCAUUCAGCCAUUGCAUGCGAUAUGGAUGUGGGUGACGUUUUGUUUGCAAUUGAAGCUUCUCGACCAUCUCCAUGCUUGCAAUAUUGUUGCAGCUGCCACUAUCAAAAAUCAAUCGACAUAUCUUUGAGUUGAUAAGGCAACGUGUGUGGAAAAGAUUAUGCCGCUGCCCCUUUUCCUCCUCCACAACCUGGGCGUUAAGUGAACGACAUACAACCAAAACUUCUCCAUCAAGUUCCUCAUGAGAUAAACUAGUUCCCCCUACUUCCCAACCUUGCUCCUCUUCCACUUCAUCAUUGCCACCUUCAUGGUCACUUUCAGACUCCCAUUCACCUUGUUCAUUGAUGAUCAUAGUUCUUUUGCUGGGACAUUCCAAAGAAAUAUGACCUCUGCCUUUGCACUUGUGGCAUUGAAUGUUGCUGCUGCGUGUAGAACUCUUUUCGGGAGGUGGAGCAAAGGAUACUCCUUCUUUAGCGGAGGACUUCUUGUCUUGAUUGCGAAUAGCGGGUGAGGAAGCCGUCGAGGCAUGUGGAUGUCUAGGUGGUGCACCCUCAAACUGAGAACCAUAUGACUGUUGUGCUCGCUGCCAUGAGCGUGUGGUGGUGCGGCCUUGGAAAGCAUGAGUACGACCAUUACGCAUAUUCUUCUUCUCAACUAUUAUAAUUUGAUGUACCACAUCUUGUAAUGUAUCAUAAGGAAACAUCUCCACAAAAUCUGAUAUUUCAUCAUUCAGCCCAUCUAAAAAUCUCGCCAUCUUCGCCUCAUCACUUUCACGGCUUCUUGUCUGAAUUAGCAGCACCUCCAUCUCUUUAUAGUACUCCUCAACAGUGCGGGAAUCUUGAGUGAGCCCCUGCAACUGCUUGUACAAUUGCCUCUCGUAGUAUGAUGGAACAAAACGGCGCCUCAUGACUUCCGUCAUCAAAGUCCAGCUGCGGAUAUGAUUAUUGCCUGACAUCAACCGAUCAUCUUGCAGCUGAUUCCACCAUGUAAGAGCAUAACCAGAGAACUCCAUAACAGCAAGAUCAACUCUCUUGGCUUCAAAAAACUCAUGGAUGCGAAAGAUUUGGUCACACUUCUCUUCCCACUCAAUAUAUGCAUUUGGAUCCUCUUUUCCCGUGAAUGAUGGCACAUGUAGCUUCACUCUCGCUUGGUUGACACGGUCAUCCUGAUCAUGAUGGUCAUAAGGAUGACCAUUGUGACCAAAAACAACACCACGGCGAGGCGGGGAGUAGGGUUCACAAUCCCCCAUGCCUUCAUCUUCGUCACCAUGCUCGGAGAGAUCUUCAAGGAAGAUGGCAUCACCAUCAUGUGUCGCUCGUCGCUGGUGAUUAGCAGCAAACCCGUGGGGGUCAUGGCCUCGCCCAGGAGCUUCUCCUCCAUGCAGCCCACCCUCACGGGGGAAGCAAAGUCUCCACGCCUUCGUUCAGCACCAGCGGCAGGGGCAUCGUGGGUAGCAGCUCCUGCCACUCUUCCACGACCAACAUGGCGAUCAUUGUUUCCUUGACGUUGCCGGUUGUUGGCGGCCAGCGAGGCAGCGGGGCUGUGUUGAUGUUGAUCCCCAUUACCCGCGAUAGGAAGACGACCACCGAACAUACUUCGCAUAGCUGCAACUAUACUCUCCUCAAUCAUAUCACCAAGUGAUGCGCGAGUUUUUGGGAGAUCAUCUUCCACAUGUUGAUGUCCAUGUACACUCGAGUCAGAUCUUGUCAUGUUAACUCUUGCAAACAAGUGAAAAAAAGAAAAAAAUAUGUGAAAAAACACUCAGCUCACCUUCUUGCUUACCCGAAUUCUAAUGAUUCCUUGGCGGCUGUGCGGAAGUAGCAACUCAGGAGUGGACGGGCGAAUGAAAGGAAGGAAGCUGACGGUUUCUAGGUGGAUCUGGGUGGGGUAAAAAGGGAGGGCUAGUGCUGAGAUCCAAUCGAUGCAAACCAAAUGAACAAGAAAAAAAAUUGUAGAUCCUUGCAUCACGUUUGAGCUGCAACACUUGCCACUUCAACUUCUGAAAUUUCUCACCAAAUUGAAUAUGAUUGCACAAUUUCUCAACACUUUCUCUUCUCUUUUUUUUUGCUCACUUUUUCUUCACUCUUUUUUUCCUCUCUUUUCUUUGCUCUUUUUUUUUGCAAGACAAUAGAUCCAACAACAAGGCUCAAAGAAAAACAUCAACAACUUUGGAUAGAACUUGGUGCAAACACAAAAAGGAAAGCAAACAACUAGAUCUCAACAAUGAAGGCUUGGAUUGUUUUUGUGGCUUUUUGGAUUUGGACUCUAGGACGGGGAAAACCAAACUAAAAAGGAUAGAUCUAGCAACAAAGACACAGAUCCUACCGUGUAAACCUUGCUCUGAAUACCAGAUGAUGUGACCCCGUCUUCGAAGAAGAGGGAGUACAAGGGGAGGUCCGAUCUUCACGGCGUAGGAUCGAUAAAUGAAUGGGGAUAACUAGCUGCAAGCAGCCAGAAAAUGGAAAAUAAGAGAUUAUGACCCGACGAGGAGGAGGCUCACCGAAGCUUGCAAUUCGAACAUUCGCCGAUCCACAACCCACAAUACUACCCCACACAACCGCGCUCAAGUUGUGGAGCACGGGAUAGGUGCAAUCCGCAAGGGAAACCACGGACUCUAAUCCAAACAACACGAUCUAGUCGUGGAGCACGAAUUAGGAGCAAUUUCUCAAGGAAUCACGAUAAUAAGGAUAACAAGACCUCUCCAAUCUCAGGAGGAGUCUAUGUCUUUGGUCUUUGAUAGAAAUGGCAAAAAGUCCCCAACAAAGGGAAGAGCUAGCCUAUUUAUAACCGAGACAACCCCCUGGAUAGGUGUGAAAGAGAACAAGCUUCUGGAACCAGUUUAGGUGUGAAAGUGAACAGGCUUUGUUUGACUAAACGGCUUCAAGACUUAAUGGGAUAGUUUCUGGAAAACUCUCGUUGGAGGUGGUUGGUGGUUCCGACCAAACAUUGUUCACUGGGGUCGAACAAUGUUUCCUUCAGCAGAAAACUCGAGUUCUGGAAACCUUUCGCAAGUUGAGAUAUUCAAACUCGUGCAAAACAUUGUUCCGUCAGAAUCGGAACAAUGUUUCUUCAGCAGACAACUCAUUCUUCAUGGAUUCCUAAGUUUGCUUCCGCGCCAUAAAACAUUAUUUUGCACGGACUGAAAUGUGUUUGGCCUUCUUCGACAUCGCACCUGAGUUCAACCAACAACAAAGGAGGUGAAGGCACAACCAUAUUUUCAAGGUCAAAUGAUAGACUUAAGUUAGCGUUCACCUGAUCAUGUAUUUGCAUUGCGCGACUUCUUGUGAUUGGACCAUUGAUGGUUGAUGGUGUGGUGCCCAUGGUUGGGAUGUCCUCAUCACAAAGCAAAGCACAAAAACUGACAAGUAUAAGCUUUUACUUAAAUUUAUCUGGAACAACCAUGAGUAUUGCCAAUCAUGACAAAGAUUGUGAUGGUCUCUACAUUUUAAUGGGACAAAUGCCUUAGCAUUCACAAAUGCAAUUCAUCAUGUGCAAUUCCAUACAAAGUACCAAAGCUCCUCAUUUAAAGAUCGCUAAUGUCUCACUAAACUAAAAUUGAUGAUAAAGUGGUUCUUCCUUUGUGCAAUAAGCGGUAAGUGUUCAGUCCAUUAGUGGAGCACAAUGUCAAGCACGGCCACAUCGGCUUCGGCGAGGAGAACGGCUUCGUGCCCGGUCGUGUCGUGCGGGUGUUGCAGCUUGCUCGUUCUUGCCGAAACAAUUGAUCUAUCCGGUGCCUAUGUAGUUGUGCGUGUGUAUCUGGCCAACUCCGUUUGCUAGGUGCACGAGCCAACUUCCAAUGAAAAUCGAUCGGGUGCUUCUGCUAGCUCCAGUGUACGUGCGCGUACAAGCGUUCUGGCCGGAAGGAAUCGCCACCGUCUGCCGUGUCGGACAUUGCUGUCAGCCUGGAACGCCUCAGCCUUAGGGUAUGUACAAUGGUUCUAUCUUAACAAUGCCACGUAAGAUAAAUGAUGAGAUGGAGGAAAGAAAAAUCAUAAAAGAAGGCUUGUCUUCUCUUAAUUAAGAGAAGGCAAGAUAUGAUCUCUUAGCACAAUAUGUCUCAUCACAUUUUUAGGAAUAAC
Molecule: long non-coding RNA, 36636 nt
Filed under: Triticum aestivum (bread wheat)
Lineage: Eukaryota; Viridiplantae; Streptophyta; Magnoliopsida; Poales; Poaceae
Description: long non-coding RNA (TAES_LNC026954)
Source: RNAcentral